GUGCUGUAUGAAAGGAAAGAAGGUUAGCAUUCCCCUUGCCAAGGACAGAAGAGGCCCGCGGGCCUGACAACACCCACACAGUCAAGGCAUUGCCACCCACUUCAUGUCGUCUAACCACUUCCUUGC
Small nuclear RNA from Octodon degus (degu), 126 nucleotides. The record is from Ensembl. NCBI's taxonomy places the organism in Eukaryota, Metazoa, Chordata, Mammalia, Rodentia, Octodontidae.